UAAUACAGAGGGGGCAAGCGUUGUUCGGAAUUACUGGGCGUAAAGGGCGCGUAGGCGGCCUGUUAAGUCGGACGUGAAAUCCCUCGGCUCAACCGGGGAACUGCGUCUGAUACUGGCGGGCUUGAAUUCGGGAGAGGGAUGUGGAAUUCCAGGUGUAGCGGUGAAAUGCGUAGAUAUCUGGAGGAACACCGGUGGCGAAGGCGGCAUCCUGGACCGACAUUGACGCUGAGGCGCGAAAGCCAGGGGAGCAAACGGG
RNAcentral lists this ribosomal RNA (256 nucleotides) under uncultured bacterium. Its description in RNAcentral is "partial 16S ribosomal RNA". It matches the Rfam family "Bacterial small subunit ribosomal RNA", at positions 521 to 776 of the family's 1533-position model. The record is from RNAcentral.